This 782-nucleotide ribosomal RNA is filed under the name uncultured soil archaeon. RNAcentral's name for it is "bacterial SSU rRNA". It matches the Rfam family "Archaeal small subunit ribosomal RNA", at positions 77 to 865 of the family's 1478-position model. The record is from RNAcentral.
CUCGGCGAACGGCUAAGUAACACGUGGACAACCUUCCCUCAGAUCUGGGAUAACUCCGGGAAACUGGAGAUAAUACCGGAGAGUCCGUGAACGCUGGAAUGCCUUACGGUUCAAAGCUUUAGCGUCUGAGGAUGGGUCUGCGGACGAUUAGGUAGUUGCUGGGGUAACGUCCCAACAAGCCUGUAAUCGGUACGGGUUGUGAGAGCAAGAGCCCGGAGAUGGAUUCUGAGACACGAAUCCAGGUCCUACGGGGCGCAGCAGGCGCGAAAACUUUACACUGCGCGAAAGCGCGAUAAGGGGACCUCGAGUGCGUCGCAAUGCGUCGCUUUUCAUAUGCCUAAAAAGCAUGUGGAAUAAGGGCCGGGCAAGACCGGUGCCAGCCGCCGCGGUAACACCGGCGGCUCGAGUGGUGGCCGCUAUUAUUGGGCUUAAAGGGUCCGUAGCCGGACCAGUUAGUCCCUUGGGAAAUCUUACGGCUUAACCGUAAGGCGCCAAUGGAUACUGCUGGUCUUGGGACCGGGAGAGGCAAGAGGUACCUCAGGGGUAGGAGUGAAAUCCUGUAAUCCUUGAGGGACCGCCAGUGGCGAAGGCGUCUUGCUAGAACGGGUCCGACGGUGAGGGACGAAAGCUAGGGGCACGAACCGGAUUAGAUACCCGGGUAGUCCUAGCCGUAAACGAUGCGAGCUAGGUGUCACGUGGAUUGCGAAUCCAUGUGGUGCCGUAGGGAAACCGUGAAGCUCGCCGCCUGGGAUAAACGCCGGCAAGGCUGAACUUAAAGGCCA